RNAcentral lists this small RNA (499 nucleotides) under Oryza sativa Japonica Group (Japanese rice). RNAcentral describes it as "sRNA Os08g0203501". Lineage: Eukaryota; Viridiplantae; Streptophyta; Magnoliopsida; Poales; Poaceae. The record is from RNAcentral.
GAUUAUAUUGAAAGAUCGUUAAAUCAGCUUACCCACUCAAAGAGAUAGAUCUUACUUUCCUCAAGAGAAUUGUCGGUGUUCGACCGACCAGCAACAAUCUCUAGUGCUACCACCCCGAAUGCGAAAACAUCAACCUUUUCAGUCAAAUGUCGUCUCAUCGCAUACUCAGGAGCCAGAUAACCACUUGACAAAAGGUUAGAUAAGUUUAAGUUAGCUUUGUUUGUAAGGUACAAAUAUAAGAGAAAUGGUGAAAUGUUCUUACAAUGUGCCCGCAAUUCCUGUACUAACAUGAGUCUUCUUCUCAUCAUAAAGCUUGGCGAGUCCAAAGUCAGAGAUCUUUGGGGUGAGGUCUGUGUCAAGUAGGACAUUGCUAGCUUUGAUGUCCCUAUGAACAAUGCGCACGCUCGACUCCUCAUGAAGAUAAGUUAGGCCUCUUGCAAUUCCUAAAAUGAUCUCGAAGCGUGUUGCCCAGUCCAGUUUUAUGCUACCGUUUCCUGUA